RNAcentral lists this transfer RNA (188 nucleotides) under Fagopyrum esculentum subsp. ancestrale. Its description in RNAcentral is "tRNA-Tyr". The record is from RNAcentral. Lineage: Eukaryota; Viridiplantae; Streptophyta; Magnoliopsida; Caryophyllales; Polygonaceae.
AAGAAUUCGCUCAUAGACCGUGAUAUGCAAAUUUUUGUCUUCCCGAAACGCACGAUACUUGAGAAUCAAAGAAUUCUCUUUUUCGAUAUACCUACCUCUAUUUGUAUUUGUUUGCUCGAUUUAUUUGUUCAAAAAGAUUAGGAUCGAGAUAGGAUAAUGAUCUCGAGUCAUAGCAGUAUCCCCAAGUA